AGCUUUGUGCAGUGGCCGUAUCACAGCCAGUGAGGCUUAUCUGAGGGGCGAUUAUUGCUAAUUGAAAACUUUUCUCAAUUUUUUUCCCAGCAAUAUUUAUAUAGGAAUCUUUUAUAUUUACAACCCCCCAAAUCAAUAAA
Small nuclear RNA from Lontra canadensis (Northern American river otter), 140 nucleotides. RefSeq annotates it as U4 spliceosomal RNA. Lineage: Eukaryota; Metazoa; Chordata; Mammalia; Carnivora; Mustelidae. The transcript has a single exon. The record is from RefSeq and is a predicted model, not a curated record.